GACGAACGCUGGCGGCGUGCCUAAUACAUGCAAGUUGAGCGCUGAAGGUUGGUUCUUGUACCAACUGGAUGAGCAGCGCACGGGUGAGUAACGCGUGUGGAAUCUGCCUUUGAGCGGGGGACAACAUUUGGAAACGAAUGCUAAUACCGCAUAAAAACUUUAAACACAAGUUUUAAGUUUGAAAGAUGCAAUUGCAUCACUCAAAGAUGAUCCCGCGUUGUAUUAGCUAGUUGGUGAGGUAAAGGCUCACCAAGGCGAUGAUACAUAGCCGACCUGAGAGGGGGAUCGGCCACAUUGGGAAUGAGACACGGCACAAACUGCUACGGGAGGGAGCAGUAGGGAAUCGUGGGGAAAGGACGAAAGUCUGACCGAGAAAGGCCGAGGGAGUGAAGAAGGAUUUCGGAUCGUAAAACUCUGUUGGUAGAGAAGAAAGUUGGUGAGAGUGGAAAGCUCAUCAAGUGACGGUAACUACACAGAAAGGGACGGCUAACUACGUG
Molecule: ribosomal RNA, 497 nt
Filed under: uncultured bacterium
Lineage: Bacteria
Description: partial 16S ribosomal RNA
Rfam family: Bacterial small subunit ribosomal RNA
Source: RNAcentral